GUCCCCGGGUAGCAGCACGUCAACGUCGCCUCCCGACGCACUUCCUCAGCGUUGCGCGACCCCAGCCGCCGCGCAUCUGUGGAAAGAUUAGUCAUAAGAAAAUCUAUCCACGCCCAGGCCAAGUAAGUCAUGUACAACGUUUACGCGCAAGUAAGCAAAAGCGACCCGGAGCUGGGUAUCACAGACGCAUGUCGGAAAGUGAGCGCGAGCUGGCUGGGGUUGGCGAACGCAAUGUGUGCCGGAUUAAGCGCGUCGUAGUGUUUGGCACCUCGAAGUCACCGAAGCGCAAACCACCGCGUCUCCCAGACACACACAGCAAUGCCAAAAGCGGAUGAACAAGACUACUGCACGACACUUUCUCUCGAGCUGCCCUACGAAGAAAAGUGCACCAGUAUUUCCCGCGAAAUGAAAUUCUAACAGCCGCAAAACUUGCUCGAGAUUUCACCAUGAUGACAUGGAAAUGCCUAAAAUGUGUGUACGUACAAUGCAAAGGCUGCUCAACGACACUGGGUUUUCUUUUCGCAAACGGAAGAGAAACUGCUCUCCUAGAGAGAAACGUCAUCAUCAUGUGGCGGCGGCAGUACCUGUGCACCAUCCGAGAACUUCGCACACAAAAGCGGUCGCUCGAAGUUUUGAGGCCACGCCGGCGUGCACUUGGGCCACGUCGCAGAUCGCUUUCAAGAAGCACGAGCGCCGGCACAGUUAUUACCUAGACGACACUUGGGUCAACGCUGAACAUACCAAGGGAAAGGUCGGGGAGGACGUGAACGUUGUUACGCGCGAGGAUGUAUUUCGGGAACGUCUGACAACAGGCCUUCGCGCACCAUGCGGCAAAGGUGGCAGGCUGAUCCUAUUGCACGCCGGUAGCGAGGAUGGCUUCGUAAAUGGCGCUUGUCUCGUUUUCAGAGCAGCGAAAUCAGCUGGUGACCACCACAAAGAAGUGGAUGGGCCACGGCUCGAUAAGUGGUUCUCUGAGCAGCUUCAACCAAACAUCAAACAACGCACAGUUAUAGUAAUGGACAAUUCAACCUACCACAGUGUUCACCGCGAGAAAGUACCGACAGUAUCAACAAGAAAGUUUGAAAUUAGGUCUUGGCUAACCGAAAAAGUCAUCGCGUUUUCUCACGGUCAAUAAAAGCCAGAGUUGCUGG
Long non-coding RNA from Dermacentor albipictus, 1151 nucleotides. RefSeq lists it as uncharacterized. Lineage: Eukaryota; Metazoa; Arthropoda; Arachnida; Ixodida; Ixodidae. The record is from RefSeq and is a predicted model, not a curated record.